GGCUGGUUGGCUCAGUUGAUUAGAGCAUGGUGUUGAAAACACCAAGGUCAAGGGUUCAGAACCCCUUACCAGCCA
Molecule: non-coding RNA, 75 nt
Organism: Galeopterus variegatus (Sunda flying lemur)
Lineage: Eukaryota; Metazoa; Chordata; Mammalia; Dermoptera; Cynocephalidae
Source: the annotation of a RefSeq genome assembly